RNAcentral lists this ribosomal RNA (500 nucleotides) under uncultured bacterium. RNAcentral's name for it is "partial 16S ribosomal RNA". It matches the Rfam family "Bacterial small subunit ribosomal RNA", at positions 30 to 523 of the family's 1533-position model. The record is from RNAcentral.
AUUGAACGCUGGCGGCAUGCCUUACACAUGCAAGUCGAACGGCAGCACGGGAGCAAUCCUGGUGGCGAGUGGCGAACGGGGGAGUAAUAUAUCGGAACGUGCCCAGUCGUGGGGGAUAACGUAGCGAAAGCUACGCUAAUACCGCAUACGAGCUAUGGAAUAAAGCGGGGGAUCGCAAGACCGUGCGCGAUUGGAGCGGCCGAUAUCAGAUUAGGUAGUUGGUGAGGUAAAGGAUCACCAAGCCGACGAUCUGUAGCUGGUCUGAGAGGACGAUCAGCCACACUGGGACUGAGACACGGCCCAGACUCCUACGGGAGGCAGCAGUGGGGAAUUUUGGACAAUGGGCGCAAGCCUGAUCCAGCAAUGCCGCGUGCAGGAUGAAGGCCUUCGGGUUGUAAACUGCUUUUGUACGGAACGAAACGGUGAGCUCUAAUACAGUUUGCUAAUGACGGUACCGUAAGAAUAAGCAUCGGCUAACUACGUGCCAGCAGCCGCAGUAA